Molecule: ribosomal RNA, 174 nt
Filed under: Triticum aestivum (bread wheat)
Lineage: Eukaryota; Viridiplantae; Streptophyta; Magnoliopsida; Poales; Poaceae
Description: partial small subunit ribosomal RNA
Source: RNAcentral
AUGGAUUCUCUUGCUAUGCUGACAUGCUGGACCAUUUGGUGCGAGAGAAAUGCGAGGGUCUUUCGUCACAAGUCCACACUUUCGUCUUUGUUGCUUUCAAAGAUUCAGAGUGACGCCAAACUUUGGGUUAUUGCGGGCGCAAAGCGCUUGGGCCAGAUCAUGCCGGGAGAGUAG